UUUUGCGCUGAGAGUGGCUGACGGAUUGAGUAACGCCGUAGAAUCUACCUAGUAGUUGGGGACAACCUGGUGAAAACCAGGCUAAUACCGAAUAAGCCCUACGGGGGAAAGUGGAGGAUCUUCGGACUUCACGCUAUUAGAUGAGCCUGCGUCGGAUUAGCUAGAUGGUGGGGUAAAGGCUUACCAUGGCAACGAUCCGUAGCUGGUCUGAGAGGACGAUCAGCCACACUGGGACUGAGACACGGCCCAGACUCCUACGGGAGGCAGCAGUGGGGAAUAUUGGACAAUGGGGGCAACCCUGAUCCAGCAAUGCCGCGUGUGUGAAGAAGGCCUGCGGGUUGUAAAGCACUUUCAGUAGGGAGGAAAAGUUCAAGGUUAAUACCCUUGGACCCUGACGUUA
This 400-nucleotide ribosomal RNA is filed under the name uncultured bacterium. RNAcentral's name for it is "bacterial SSU rRNA". It matches the Rfam family "Bacterial small subunit ribosomal RNA", at positions 82 to 477 of the family's 1533-position model. The record is from RNAcentral.